Molecule: ribosomal RNA, 115 nt
Filed under: Pseudosulfitobacter pseudonitzschiae
Lineage: Bacteria; Pseudomonadati; Pseudomonadota; Alphaproteobacteria; Rhodobacterales; Roseobacteraceae
Source: RNAcentral
UUUGGUGAUCAUAGCGCAAAACAAAACACCCAGCCCCAUCCCGAACCGGCAGUUAAGUGCUGUAGCGCCGAUGGUACUGCGUCUUAAGACGUGGGAGAGUAGGUCAUUGCCAAAC